AGCGAGAAAGUGGCUUCGGCCAUCAGUAAAGCGGCGGACGGGUGAGUAACACGUAGGUAAUCUUCCCUUGAGCGGGGGACAACGAGCCGAAAGGCUCGCUAAUACCGCAUAAGUUUCUCGGGACUCCGGUCCUGGGAAGGAAAGCUAGGUAGCAAUAUCCGGCACUCGAGGAGGAGCCUGCGUCGCAUCAGCUAGUUGGUGGGGUAAUGGCCUACCAAGGCGAAGACGCGUAGCUGGUCUGAGAGGAUGAUCAGCCACACUGGGACUGAGACGCGGCCCAGACUCCUACGGGAGGCAGCAGUGGGGAAUAUUGGACAAUGGGCGCAAGCCUGAUCCAGCCACGCCGCGUGAGUGAUGAAGGCCUUCGGGUCGUAAAGCUCUGUGGGGAGGGACGAACCGCUGGAGGUUAAUACCUUCCAGCAUGACGGUACCUCCUUAGCAAGCACCGGCUAACUUCGUGCCAGCAGCCGCGGUAAUACGAAGGGUGCAAACGUUGCUCGGAAUUAUUGGGCGUAAAGCGCACGUAGGCGGCUUAGCAAGUCGGAAGUGAAAUCCCACGGCUCAACCAUGGAAGUGCUUUCGAAACUGCUGAGCUUGAGUACGAAAGAGGAUCGCGGAAUUCCCGGUGUAGAGGUGAAAUUCGUAGAUAUCGGGAGGAACACCAGUGGCGAAGGCGGCGAUCUGGGUCGAUACUGACGCU
RNAcentral lists this ribosomal RNA (700 nucleotides) under uncultured delta proteobacterium. RNAcentral describes it as "bacterial SSU rRNA". It matches the Rfam family "Bacterial small subunit ribosomal RNA", at positions 65 to 747 of the family's 1533-position model. The record is from RNAcentral. Lineage: Bacteria; Deltaproteobacteria.